GACUGGUCUGAAGGUGGUGAGUUAAGUCAAUUGAUCGUUCACAGUUGCAGAUCAAACUCCUUGUCUUACUCUUUUCCCCCCUUCUCACUACUGCAUUUGACUCAUCUAUG
This 110-nucleotide Y RNA is filed under the name Microcebus murinus (gray mouse lemur). RNAcentral's name for it is "Y RNA (ENSMICG00000044527.1)". It matches the Rfam family "Y RNA". From Rfam's summary of the family: Y RNAs are components of the Ro ribonucleoprotein particle (Ro RNP), in association with Ro60 and La proteins. The Y RNAs and Ro60 and La proteins are well conserved, but the function of the Ro RNP is not known. The record is from Rfam by way of RNAcentral. Lineage: Eukaryota; Metazoa; Chordata; Mammalia; Primates; Cheirogaleidae.